Non-coding RNA from Ictidomys tridecemlineatus (thirteen-lined ground squirrel), 72 nucleotides. Lineage: Eukaryota; Metazoa; Chordata; Mammalia; Rodentia; Sciuridae. The record is from Rfam.
GGGGCCGUAGCUCAGUGGUAGAGCACUUGUCUUGCACAUGUGAAGCACUGAGUUCGAUCCUCAGUACCACCU